UGAGGAAUAUUGGUCAAUGGGCGCAAGCCUGAACCAGCCAUCCCGCGUGAAGGAUGAAUGUCUUAUGGAUUGUAAACUUCUUUUCUGUGCAAAGAAUAUGCUAUACGUGUAUGGUAUUGACGGUAGUACAGGAAUAAGCAUCGGCUAACUCCGUGCCAGCAGCCGCGGUAAUACGGAGGAUGCAAGCGUUAUCCGGAUUUAUUGGGUUUAAAGGGUGCGUAGGUGGAAUGAUAAGUCAGUGGUGAAAUCCUGCAGCUUAACUGUAGAACUGCCAUUGAUACUGUUGUUCUUGAGUGCAGAUGAGGUAGGCGGAAUGAGUAGUGUAGCGGUGAAAUGCUUAGAUAUUACUCAGAACACCGAUUGCGAAGGCAGCUUACUAAACUGUAACUGACACUGAUGCACGAAAGCGUGGGGAUCGAACA
This 422-nucleotide ribosomal RNA is filed under the name uncultured prokaryote. RNAcentral's name for it is "bacterial SSU rRNA". It matches the Rfam family "Bacterial small subunit ribosomal RNA", at positions 355 to 774 of the family's 1533-position model. The record is from RNAcentral.